This 585-nucleotide ribosomal RNA is filed under the name uncultured bacterium. RNAcentral's name for it is "bacterial SSU rRNA". It matches the Rfam family "Bacterial small subunit ribosomal RNA", at positions 338 to 916 of the family's 1533-position model. The record is from RNAcentral.
CCUACGGGAGGCAGCAGUGGGGAAUUUUGGACAAUGGGCGAAAGCCUGAUCCAGCAAUGCCGCGUGCAGGAAGAAGGCCUUCGGGUUGUAAACUGCUUUUGUACGGAACGAAACGGUCUGCUUUAAUACAGUGGGCUAAUGACGGUACCGUAAGAAUAAGCACCGGCUAACUACGUGCCAGCAGCCGCGGUAAUACGUAGGGUGCGAGCGUUAAUCGGAAUUACUGGGCGUAAAGCGUGCGCAGGCGGUUAUAUAAGACAGUUGUGAAAUCCCCGGGCUCAACCUGGGAAUUGCAUCUGUGACUGUAUGGCUAGAGUACGGUAGAGGGGGAUGGAAUUCCGCGUGUAGCAGUGAAAUGCGUAGAUAUGCGGAGGAACACCGAUGGCGAAGGCAAUCCCCUGGACCUGUACUGACGCUCAUGCACGAAAGCGUGGGGAGCAAACAGGAUUAGAUACCCUGGUAGUCCACGCCCUAAACGAUGUCAACUGGUUGUUGGGUGCAUUAGUACUCAGUAACGAAGCUAACGCGUGAAGUUGACCGCCUGGGGAGUACGGCCGCAAGGUUGAAACUUAAAGGAAUUGACGG